GCAGAGAAAGGUGAUUGCAAUUGUAGUGUGGCAUAAAGCCAUCCAAAUCCAAGUUCUAGAGAAAGGAGUAUCGUGCCAGAUUAUGGGUCGGUGCAAAACACAGAGGACAAAAGACACGGUUGAGUUUAAUUGAAUUGAGUUGAGUAGUGAGAAAAAUCAAUUAGCUGUUAUGGCUAUGAAGGCCACGCCAAUCACUGGUUUAGGCUUCGUUUCAACAAGACCUUCCUCACGUCCACCCCUCAAAUCAUUAUUUCUCAGUUAUGGUGCAGGAGCAUUGGAAGUUCCUUGUAUAAGGGUAUCCUACUCAGAUAGAUUAAAAUGUAAUAGUCAAGGUGGCGGUGCCCUUGGUGCUCAGAUGAAUGUUUUUAGUAGGUUUGCUAGAGUUAUCAAGUCAUAUGCUAAUGCCAUUAUAAGCGUCUUUGAAGAUCCUGAGAAGAUAUUAGAACAAGCUGUGAUAGACAUGAGUAAUGAUUUGAUAAAGGUUCGCCAAGCUACGGCACAAGUUUUGGCAUCUCAAAAGCAGUUAGAAAGCAAGUACAAAGCCGUACAAAAAGCUUCUGAUGAUUGGUAUCAAAGGGCACAGCUGGCUCUUCAGAAGAGGGAUGAGGAUCUUGCCCGUGAAGCUCUUAAGCGAAGAAAGUCUUAUGCUGAUAAUGCAACUGCUUUGAAGAUACAGCUUGAACAGCAAAAGAAUGUUGCUGAUAGUCUUGUGUCCAAAACACAGCUUUUGGAGAGCAAGAUACAGGAGGCAAAGUCAAAGAAAGAUACCCUUAAAGCAAGAGCUCAGUCUGCAAAGACUUCAACCAUAGUUAGUGAGAUGGUGAACAAUAUCAACACAAGCAGUGCCCUUGCAGCUUUUGAUAAGAUGGAGGAAAAGGUACUAACCAUGGGGGGUCAGGCGGAUGCAUUGAAUCAGUUGACUACUGACAAUCUUGAGGGAAAGGUAGUUUUGCACUGCUAGAGAACUCUUCUGUCGAUGAUGAUCUUGCAGAGUUAAAGAAAGAAUUAUCUGGAAGCUCCAAGAGGGGAGAACUUCCACCUGGAAGAAGUGUUCCCACCAACAAAGAAUUUCCCUUCUUAAUGAACUCCGAAGAAAAGCAAAGUGGUUCUAGCGUCUAGGUUGUGUGAUUGGUUUAACUUACUUUUUAAAAAUAAGUAUUUUAUUUCAUAAGUUUACUUAGAAUUUUAAAAAUAAAAGGACUAUUUCUCUAAUAUUGCCAUGCUAAACAUGGGCUUAGUCUCUAUUGAUCAUUCAUUUAAUCAGAUCACCCACCGUAGGGAUUAAGUUUUUCUUUGGCCUAACUAUUUAGAUCUUCUGGUCUCCUUUUUUAAGUUAUUUAAUUUGAAAUUGGAAAGCUUUUUAAAUAAUCUUUUGGUAUACCAAUCAUAUACAUGAUUUACUUUGGUUAAUGAACAAUAAUUUAUUGCGAAAAUAUUUGGCACGAUUUUGUGAUGAAAUAUUGUGUGUCAACGGAUAUAUCAUAUAGCUGUAAUUUAUAGUUAGACAUCGCUGAUGUUUUGGGUUUGUGGGUGGAUUAUUUAGAGUAAGUUGUAAUGGGCUUAAAAGUGUUCCACAGUUUCUAAAGAAUGUUAACAAGAAAAUUUUAGGUGUCCAUUAACGCUUUUUUUCUAAUUUCACCCAAAAAAAAUGCAUUAGGUUUAAAUAUAUUUUUGCUUCAUACAUUUUUGUAAAAAAAAAAAAAAUUUAGAUCUUUUAAUUUUUUUUAUCUCAAUAUUUGUACAAGUUCUUGGUUUUGAUUCCUUUCACUUACGUGACUAAGUAAUAUGUUGUCGCAUGUUAAUUUUUUUGUGGAGCCAUGUGAAUCUGAGGGACCAAAAUUUGUUUGGGUUUAGAGUUUAUUCAUAUCCUAAUUCUAUCUAGCUUAGAUUUGAGUAUAGAAGUCUAUUGAUGUAUUUAAGAUGAAUAACUUUAAGCAGUAAUUUAAUAGAAAAAUAUUAUAUAUUCUUUUUUUAAUAAAACUCAUAAUAAACUUUAAACCAACUACUUUAUGUCUAGAAGUGAAAUUUAACUUCUGUAAAAUAAAGAAUUGCAUGAAGUACGAAAGUAAACAUUUAUUCACCUUUAAUUUGAAAUUAAGUAUUUAUUACAUUUAUCUUGUAACUCUAAGGAUUGGUAUUAUUAUUGUUAUUAUUAUAGAUGUAGAGUACAAAAUAGAGAAAGUGAUAGUUUUUGGUCAAUUUAUUGUAGUAAUGAGUAAAUAUAUUUGGGGUUUGGAAGAGUACCCAGCCCAGCCCAAUUGAGAAAGGAGAGGGAAGGGCCGAAGCGAAGCCCUAAAAAACAAAAUAGCAGAAGCAUUGGAAGUGGGAAUAGCAGUGGUAAGAGUUGUUACCUCUCUCAUCAAACUCUUCAUCGGAAUAACGACUCCAUGGCGACAGUUCAUCUCCUUCGACCAUGCUUCCUUCCCUCAAUCAAACUCAAACCCUCCACCUUAACACUCCCCAGACCCACAACCUACUCACCCCUCAAACCCAAGCCAAAAAACGCCGUCGUAUCGGCACGCAUGUCCAACAACAGUACCUCUACCCCAGCCACGGAGCGUUUAAUCUCAAUCGCAGCCUACACACUCCCAUUCUUCAACUCACUCCAAUACGGUCGCUUCCUUCUCUCCCAAUACCCAAAACUAGCACUUCUCUUCGACCCUAUCAUUCCCUUCCUCGCAUUCUACAGGUCUAUCCCUUACUCCUCCUUCGUUGCAUUCUUCGCCCUCUACUUGGGAAUCGUCAGAAACCCUAAUUUCCCCCAAUACGUGAGGUUCAACGCUAUGCAAGCCGUUACACUCGACGUUCUCCUCGUCGUUCCGCUCCUCCUCCAGCGGAUCUUCUCUCCGGGUCGGGCCGGCAUGGGCUUUCGGAUAAUGCUUUGGUCUCACAAUGCUCUCUUCGUCUUCAGCAUUAUCUGCUUCCUCUACGCCCUUUCUUCUUGCGUCUUGGGUCGCACCCCUUACUUGCCCUUUGUUGCCGACGCUGCUUCUAGGCAAAUCUGAUUUACAAAGCCUACUGCAAUUCAAUUUUUCUUGUAGCUUUCGCUUCAACUUUUGGUGUAUUGGCGUGGUUGUAUCAUAUUUUUGCGAUUAUAAUCCUAAUGGCAAAUAUUAUCCCCUUUUUUUUCGUUAAGACAAAUCAUUUCUUUUAUCAUAGUUGGUUAUCCAAUCUUAUUUUUUAAAAUUAAGAGAACUCCUCUCCUUAUAACACCUUUAAUUCUUUUGGAAGAAUAUUUUUCAUAAAUAUUAAAAGUAUUAUUUUUAAAGCAUACAUCUACUUUUUACAUUAUAUUUAUUUGAAAAUUAGUCCAUAUUAAUCCUGAUGUUUCACUCUUUUUUUAUAUAUUAAACGGGAACAUUUUGACCCAGCAAACAGCUCAAAGAACAAGUCUAAGAUCCCAAUGUAAUAUCAUCAAAUAGAAUAUAAAUGUACAGCCAUUUAUAUUAACGAAUAACUCAUAAAUUAAAAUUUAAUGAAUAAAUAUUACUGUACAAACCAAAUAUAUAUUUUAACCUUCAAUAAACAAACACGUUAAUCUAAUACCUUAAACGUUUCUUCAAAGACAAUUAACUACAUUCUAUGAUAGUUUUUCUUUAGUUAAUUUCCCUGACAAUUC
Molecule: RNA transcript, 3619 nt
Organism: Abrus precatorius (Indian licorice)
Lineage: Eukaryota; Viridiplantae; Streptophyta; Magnoliopsida; Fabales; Fabaceae
Gene name: membrane-associated 30 kDa protein, chloroplastic
Exons: 11
Source: RefSeq, a predicted model, not a curated record